UGAUUUGGAAUGAACCAUGCUUGUAGGGUGAUCAGAAUAAAAACAGGUAUAACUCCCUUAAUACCGAAAUAACACGGUCAGGAAAGCGGUGCCAUAAUCCGUGCCGCCUUACCAACCUCAGUAAAAAGUAUAAGUUUUCUUAUUUCACAACUCAUUGGGCAAUAGCACAGCAUUCCCUAUCGAAAUGCAGAUUAAAUAUGUCAUUAUCACAAGCGAAUGGGAGGUGUUUCACGAAAACUGAGAAACGCGAAUUUCUGCCUGAUAAACAUCGGAAUACGUACUAUUGGCACCUAAUUUCGAAGAGGUAAAUCCCUACUUUUCAUGACAUAAAUAAAGAACAAAACGCCGAACCAUCAGUAUGACGGCACAGCGUUUUGUGUUACUGCUUAGAUGCAGAUUAAUGCAGUAGCGAAUGGUUUUAAUUC
Molecule: non-coding RNA, 425 nt
Filed under: Pectobacterium parmentieri WPP163
Lineage: Bacteria; Pseudomonadati; Pseudomonadota; Gammaproteobacteria; Enterobacterales; Pectobacteriaceae
Description: Pectobacterium wasabiae WPP163 Soft rot Enterobacteriaceae Rev 72 asRNA
Rfam family: Soft rot Enterobacteriaceae Rev 72 asRNA
About the family: From bacteria cultured under starvation conditions. Antisense to gudP.
Source: Rfam by way of RNAcentral